This 1400-nucleotide ribosomal RNA is filed under the name uncultured bacterium. RNAcentral's name for it is "16S ribosomal RNA". It matches the Rfam family "Bacterial small subunit ribosomal RNA". The record is from RNAcentral.
AGAGUUUGAUCCUGGCUCAGGAUGAACGCUGGCGGCGUGCCUAACACAUGCAAGUCGAACGGAGUUAUGUAGAAGUUUUCGGACGGAAAUAUAACUUAGUGGCGGACGGGUGAGUAACGCGUGGAUAACCUGCCUCUCACUGGGGGAUAGCAGCUGGAAACGGCUGGUAAUACCGCAUACGUUCCAUUUUCUGCAUGGAAGAUGGAAGAAAGAUUUAUCGGUGAGAGAUGGAUCCGCGUCUGAUUAGCCAGUUGGCGGGGUAACGGCCCACCAAAGCGACGAUCAGUAGCCGGCCUGAGAGGGUGAUCGGCCACAUUGGGACUGAGACACGGCCCAAACUCCUACGGGAGGCAGCAGUGGGGGAUAUUGCACAAUGGGCGCAAGCCUGAUGCAGCGACGCCGCGUGAGUGAAGAAGUAUUUCGGUAUGUAAAGCUCUAUCGGCAGGGAAGAAAGGCCCGCAAGGGAGAUGACGGUACCUGACUAAGAAGCCCCGGCUAACUACGUGCCAGCAGCCGCGGUAGUACGUAGGGGGCAAGCGUUAUCCGGAUUUACUGGGUGUAAAGGGAGCGCAGACGGCAGUGCAAGUCUGAUGUGAAAGCCCGGGGCUCAACCGCGGGACUGCAUUGGAAACUGUACAGCUUGAGUGUCGGAGAGGUAAGCGGAAUUCCUGGUGUAGCGGUGAAAUGCGUAGAUAUCAGGAGGAACACCGGUGGCGAAGGCGGCUUACUGGACGAUAACUGACGUUGAGGCUCGAAAGCGUGGGGAGCAAACAGGAUUAGAUACCCUGGUAGUCCAUGCUGUAAACGAUGAAUACUAGGUGUAGGGGGUAUCAAUUCCCUCUGUGCCCGCAGCAAACGCAAUAAGUAUUCCGCCUGGGGAGUACGGCCGCAAGGUUGAAACUCAAAAGGAAUUGACGGGGGCCCGCACAAGCAGCGGAGCAUGUUGUUUAAUUCGAAGCAACGCGAAGAACCUUACCAGGUCUUGACAUCGAGGCAAACUUGUAGAGAUACAAUGUGGAUUCGUCCAGCCAAAGACAGGUGGUGCAUGGUUGUCGUCAGCUCGUGUCGUGAGAUGUUGGGUUAAGUCCCGCAACGAGCGCAACCCCUAUUACCAGUUACCAGCGAGUAGAGUCGGGGACUCUGGUGAGACUGCCGGGGAUAACUCGGAGGAAGGUGGGGACGACGUCAAAUCAUCAUGCCCCUUACGUCUUGGGCUACACACGUGCUACAAUGGCUGUAACAAAGGGAAGCGACAGCGUAAGCUGAAGCGGAUCUCAGAAAAGCAGUCCCAGUUCGGAUUGUGGGCUGCAACCCGCCCACAUGAAGUCGGAGUUGCUAGUAAUCGCGGAUCAGAAUGCCGCGGUGAAUACGUUCCCGGGCCUUGCACACACCGCCCGUCA